GGAAACCGCCCGUGAUAAGCCGGAGGAAGGUGGGGAUGACRUCAAGUCCUCAUGGSCCUUACGCGCUGGGSUACACACRUGCUACAAUGGSGGUGACAGUGGGCAGCAMUCUCGCAAGGGKGAGCUAAUCUCCAAAAGCCGUCUCAGUUCGGAUUGUUCUCUGCAACUCSAGAGCAUGAAGGCGGAAUCGCUAGUAAUCGCGGAUCAGCAUGCCGCGGUGAAUACKUUCCCAGGCCUUGU
RNAcentral lists this ribosomal RNA (240 nucleotides) under uncultured bacterium. RNAcentral's name for it is "partial 16S ribosomal RNA". It matches the Rfam family "Bacterial small subunit ribosomal RNA", at positions 1144 to 1384 of the family's 1533-position model. The record is from RNAcentral.